Acanthaster planci (crown-of-thorns starfish) is the source of this 1198-nucleotide long non-coding RNA. RefSeq lists it as uncharacterized. NCBI's taxonomy places the organism in Eukaryota, Metazoa, Echinodermata, Asteroidea, Valvatida, Acanthasteridae. The record is from RefSeq and is a predicted model, not a curated record.
AUUUUACCUCGAACCGUGCUCGAAUGGAGCGUGGUAGUACACUAGCUAGUAGGCCGACAACGCUUAACGGUAAAGACACAUGUCGAAAGCUGUGGAACUCAUCAGGAUUUGAUUACUGCUGUGAUCUGAUGGACAGCAACAACAUCAGACGUGUGGACAUAUUGGAUACAGCCUGCCCACCGUGUAGCAUUGACAGCCACAGUGGCAAGCAUGUUCCAGCAAAGUAGCGGUGCCACUGUAUGCAAAUACCAUCAUCAUUGAACAACCAGCCAAUCUUGUGACUCUAGGGCAACAUUGUUUUGAGCUUGUAAGCCAGGGACUUCAUUCAAAAAAGAAACUCUCCUUGACACAGAUCCAUCAGGUGUGCUGUUCAGGUCGCCACAAAGAACAGCAGCUGAUUUGGCUUGACUGUCCUACAUGGGGAAACAAAACAAGUGGACAAUUACAUGUACAAGUGGUUCCAUGCACAAAAGUAAUCAAAACUUCACUCAUUAAAUAACACUUUAUACCAUACAGAUUUGACUGAAAUAAAUUUGGGAUGUUCCAUGAGGCUAAGAAAUGUUCUGUGACAUUUUGGCAAAUUUGUAGACAGGAUAAAGUAUCCCUCACUGUAACUGAAUUGUUCUGUGUAAAAGUUAGUGUAACUUAACCCUAACACUCCUCAAUCCUUCACCUGUUGGAGGACUGAGGAGUGUUAGGGUUAAUGUUUAUAGAAUAUUUCAGACCAUUUUUGCAUUUGGGGCAUCUUUAACAAAAACAUGCUGCAAACGUAACUUGUUACAGGUUUAAUCAGGUUUGGUAAAACAUUAGUGUUUUAAAGCACCAGUAUCUCUCAAAAAUAGCCAGGAACUCAGCAAACUAGUCUAAACCUGUACAUGUAGUGAAGAAACUGAGUGUAAAGCCUCAGAGCUGCAGCAAGAAAUCUGUCACUGGAACCUUCUUUGAAUAUACAAGUACAAUGGAUUUCUUGGAAUAUAUCCAGGACUUUACUUUUAAACUAGUCUUACACUAGUUAGGAAUGGAUCUGUUUGCGAUCUGUUUGAGGGAGACUGGUGCAGAGGAUGCUUUUACUUCAAUGCAAUAUUUUACCAAAAAUAUAAUCUUAAAUACAAAGGUGUUACAAAGUCGCAAUAAAUUGAGAGGAUUUCCCAGCAAAUAAUGCUGGAAUUUUCUCAUUUUGAGUGAAAAAUACAAAAAG